Molecule: long non-coding RNA, 1080 nt
Organism: Papaver somniferum (opium poppy)
Lineage: Eukaryota; Viridiplantae; Streptophyta; Magnoliopsida; Ranunculales; Papaveraceae
Exons: 4
Source: RefSeq, a predicted model, not a curated record
AUCUUUUUGUUCCUGAAUCAGAUCGAAAGAGAAAAACCAGAUCUAAAAAAAGGAGAAACCAUAGAAGAGAGAGAGAGAGAGGCGAUUCCAGAAUUGGAGAUAUUUUGUUCAUCUCGAUUCAUCAUUGAAAACAAGAAAGCAUUUUAGGUUUUGGUUCAUCUCGAUUCAUCUCCAUUAGUUGUCGCUUGAAAAAAUUAUAAUAUCUAUAAUUUCAUUUCUCGAUUCUCAGAGAACAAAGAAAAAAGAUGGAACUUAAACUGAUAUAUUUCUAGCGUCGUACUUUAUGGAUCUUCAACCUGCAAGUGCUAGAGAUGAUUUUGAUUACUUUAUGAAACUUCUCCUCAUGGUUGAUAACGGCUUACUUGGAAGAGUAUAUAUUUCGUUGGUUCUUCGAAGAAAGUAAUGCAAUUAUUUCUGCAAUUGAGUUUCAUUUUAUAAUGCAAGGCCUUAGCUAGAUAGAAAGCUAUAUGUAGUUUUAUCUGAUUAUGGUAUGCUGCAAAGAAAAUUAUGGACAACAAAAAUGUGGAUUCUGGUGAAGACGGUCCAGUUGAGUCUGUCAGUGAUGAUGAAGACGACGAUAAGGAAAUGUUGGAUCCUGAUUUUGAAGGCUCUGAUACUGAUGACUCGGACAAGGAAAGUAGUUUAUCAGCAUAUGAAAACGAUGGUGAUGUUAAUAAUGUUUUAAUUGGAUGGACGAGCCGUAUAAGAUUUAAGGUUAGGUAUCUCGAUGAAGAGAUUGUUCCCAUGGACUUGUUGUAUAUGAUGGAGAGUUUGUUUUUGAAGCUGCUCAGAUCUUUGCAUCAUUCAAUGAUAUAAUUAUUGUUAGCUUGGCGUGUUUGAUAUUUUUUUUCAGUCUGUGCAGACUAGAGUGGCAGUCUGACUAUCAUGAAUGUUGGAUUUUCUAUAUUUUUUGCCGAUGUGUACAUAGUUGUACACUAGUGUGAAUUAAAAAAAUUUAAAAAGUGAAAAUUAUAUGGUCAGUACUCUUUUUGUAGAUAUCGAAAAGAGCUUUCCGAAUAUAUAAAGUUUGUGAAUUUUGGACGAGCAUUUAAUUAUUUAUAUAUUAUUUAAAAUUGCUGA